RNAcentral lists this transfer RNA (69 nucleotides) under Aplastodiscus ehrhardti (Ehrhardt's snouted treefrog). Its description in RNAcentral is "tRNA-Val". It matches the Rfam family "tRNA". Rfam says of the family: Transfer RNA (tRNA) molecules are approximately 80 nucleotides in length. The record is from RNAcentral. Lineage: Eukaryota; Metazoa; Chordata; Amphibia; Anura; Hylidae.
CAAAAUAUAGCUUAACUAAAGCAUCUUGCUUACACCAAGAAAAUGCCUGUUAAACCCAGACUAUUUUGA